This 803-nucleotide long non-coding RNA is filed under the name Macaca mulatta (Rhesus monkey). Its description in RNAcentral is "lncRNA (ENSMMUG00000055945.1)". The record is from RNAcentral. Lineage: Eukaryota; Metazoa; Chordata; Mammalia; Primates; Cercopithecidae.
GCCUGGAGAAGCCCAGGCUGGGUCCCCUCUGUCCACAGGGAAAACAAGAAGAAGGGAGCAUCUGUUCACGCCAGGAGGGCCCUGCGACUUCUUGAGGAUUGUUCCAGGAAACACACUUAAGACACCUGGGCUCAAGGACACUGACCUGUCCAGACGUGAACACGAUCCAGGUGGGCCAAUGACUCAGUGCCCCCAUCCCAGCCCCAUCACACCAGGAAGACGAGACAGAUGGACCACUGGGCCCAGCGUAAUCAGGGCUUGGAAUGGGGGCCUGAUUACCUGUCCAUGGAACAUUGAUUUAUAGCUCACAACCCUCUGAUGGUGAGAUCGUUAUAUUAAGUGUCAAUUUGAUUGGAUUGAAGGAUGUAAAGUAUUGUCUCUGGAUGUGUCUGCGAGCGUGUUGCCAAAGGAGAUUAACAUUUGAGUCAGUGGACUGGGAGAAGCAGACCCACCCUCAGUCUGGGUGGGCACCAUCGAAUCAGCUGCCAGCAUGGCUAGGAUAAAAGCAGGAAGAGGAGCGUGGAAGGAGUAGACUGACGGAGUCUCCUGGCCUCCACCUUUCUCCUGUGCUAAAUGCUUCCUGCCCUCGAACAUCGGACUCCAAGUUCUUCAGCUUUUGGACUCUUGAACCAGCGGUUUGCCAGGGACUCUCGGGCCACAGACUGGAGGCUGCACUGUCGGCUUCCCUACUUUUGAGUUUUGGGACUCAGACUGGCUCUGUUGUUCCUCAGCUUGCAGAUGGCCUGUUGUGGGACUUCACCUUGCGAUUAUGUGAAUCAAUUCUCCUGAUAAACUCCCCUUCA